UACGUAGGUGGCAAGCGUUGUCCGGAUUUACUGGGCGUAAAGAGCGCGCAGGCGGUCGUUCAAGUCGCGUGUGAAAGUCCCCGGCUCAACUGGGGAGGGUCACGCGAUACUGAUCGACUCGAAGGCAGGAGAGGGAAGUGGAAUUCCCGGUGUAGUGGUGAAAUGCGUAGAUAUCGGGAGGAACACCGGUGGCGAAGGCGGCCUUCUGGACGGAUACUGACGCUGAGACGCGAAAGCGUGGGGAGCAAACAGG
RNAcentral lists this ribosomal RNA (253 nucleotides) under uncultured bacterium. Its description in RNAcentral is "partial 16S ribosomal RNA". It matches the Rfam family "Bacterial small subunit ribosomal RNA", at positions 524 to 776 of the family's 1533-position model. The record is from RNAcentral.